Molecule: transfer RNA, 85 nt
Filed under: Omnitrophica WOR_2 bacterium GWA2_44_7
Lineage: Bacteria; Pseudomonadati; Candidatus Omnitrophota
Also listed under: 3 other names
Description: tRNA-Ser
Rfam family: tRNA
About the family: Transfer RNA (tRNA) molecules are approximately 80 nucleotides in length. Their secondary structure includes four short double-helical elements and three loops (D, anti-codon, and T loops).
Source: RNAcentral
GGAGAGGUCGCGUAGCUGGUUUAGCGCGCACGCCUGGAGAGCGUGUGACCCACAAGGUCCGAGAGUUCGAAUCUCUCCCUCUCCG